Molecule: long non-coding RNA, 499 nt
Organism: Capsicum annuum
Lineage: Eukaryota; Viridiplantae; Streptophyta; Magnoliopsida; Solanales; Solanaceae
Exons: 2
Source: RefSeq, a predicted model, not a curated record
UUCAAUUUAGGACAAGUCAAAUUAUCGGUCUAGGGUUAGGAAACCCUAAUUUUUCUGCUCUCUCGGCCUCGACGGCCAUUUUUCUUCUCUCCAGCAUCGACAAUCAUUUUUCUCAUUCAAUACUCGAUAGCACCUGGCCGGAGAUAUAUAACAACCUUAGAACAUGGCCGGAGAUUGAAAAAAUGAUGGCCUCUUCUGCGAUUUUAGUGAUAAGUGAUAAAUUUUAGUGGGUCUGUGGAUAUCCCAGCUGCCCAGACGCUGAGUGUGGGGGGUGCCCUGAUAAGAUAACCUUUUGCUCUUCUUGCAGCUUUUGUUUUUGAUUGACUUGAUGUUUCGUGAUUAGAAUUAAGAGUGUAAUUGAUAUAUGUACUGGUUUAGUGGUUUGUUAUGUUGAAGAUUUUACUAAUAAAAAGAGAAUAUUAUUUAAUGUCCUUUAUUUAGUGAAAAAUGUAUGGGAAUUAUAGUUGUUUGAUGGAUGUUUAGGGUUAGUAAUUGUUUG